This is a non-coding RNA of Peromyscus maniculatus bairdii (prairie deer mouse), 417 nucleotides long. Lineage: Eukaryota; Metazoa; Chordata; Mammalia; Rodentia; Cricetidae. The record is from RefSeq and is a predicted model, not a curated record.
AAAAAAAAUCUUCUACUGUUUGAGGAAGCGUUUCCCCUGGUUCAGUGCUGUCUGCCAGGUGUGGUCCCUCUGCCGUGUGCCUGGUGGCCAGAGGUGAGCUUGGGAAAGACUGUUGUUGUCCAUGACUUCUUCCAAUGCCGCCUGGGACACUUAGUGAGCAUGCAGCACCCCUUCCACAUCUGCAAACGAUGCAGGUGGGUGUUGUGGGGUGGCGGCCAUGAUUCUCAGUCAAGCUGGGAGCGGAUAUUCAACGGCCCUACCGUCCACCUUUAGUGUCCUUCCGUGUGCGUUGUUGUUCUAGAACAGAGAUUAUCUGACAGUCUCUCCUGGCUUCUGCGGGCACCAGGCACUAACAUGAUGCAUAGAUACACCUGCAGCCAAAACAUCCAUCCCCAUAAAAUGUAAAGCGAUUAAAAU